This 492-nucleotide ribosomal RNA is filed under the name uncultured bacterium. Its description in RNAcentral is "partial 16S ribosomal RNA". It matches the Rfam family "Bacterial small subunit ribosomal RNA", at positions 29 to 507 of the family's 1533-position model. The record is from RNAcentral.
AGUGAACGCUGGCGGUAGGCCUAACACAUGCAAGUCGAACGGCAGCACAGUAAGAGCUUGCUCUUACGGGUGGCGAGUGGCGGACGGGUGAGGAAUACAUCGGAAUCUACUUUUUCGUGGGGGAUAACGUAGGGAAACUUACGCUAAUACCGCAUACGACCUACGGGUGAAAGCAGGGGAUCUUCGGACCUUGCGCGAUUGAAUGAGCCGAUGUCGGUUUAGCUAGUUGGGGGGGUAAAGGCCCACCAAGGCGACGAUCCGUGGCUGGUCUGGGAGGAUGGUCAGCCACACUGGAACUGAGACACGGUCCAGACUCCUACGGGAGGCAGCAGUGGGGAAUAUUGGACAAUGGGCGCAAGCCUGAUCCAGCCAUACCGCGUGGGUGAAGAAGGCCUUCGGGUUGUAAAGCCCUUUUGUUGGGAAAGAAAAGCAGCAGGUUAAUACCCCGCUGUUCUGACGGUACCCAAAGAAUAAGCACCGGCUAACUUCGUG